RNAcentral lists this ribosomal RNA (253 nucleotides) under uncultured bacterium. Its description in RNAcentral is "partial 16S ribosomal RNA". It matches the Rfam family "Bacterial small subunit ribosomal RNA", at positions 524 to 776 of the family's 1533-position model. The record is from RNAcentral.
UACAGAGGUCUCAAGCGUUGUUCGGAUUCAUUGGGCGUAAAGCGCACGUAGGCGGCUUCGCAAGUCGGAUGUGAAAUCCCGUGGCUCAACCAUGGACGUGCAUUCGAAACUGCGAAGCUUGAGUAUGGAAGAGGGUCGCGGAAUUCCCGGUGUAGAGGUGAAAUUCGUAGAUAUCGGGAGGAACACCAGUGGCGAAGGCGGCGACCUGGGCCAAUACUGACGCUGAGGUGCGAAAGCGUGGGGAGCAAACAGG